Long non-coding RNA from Saccostrea cuccullata (small rock oyster), 685 nucleotides. RefSeq lists it as uncharacterized. The transcript has 3 exons. NCBI's taxonomy places the organism in Eukaryota, Metazoa, Mollusca, Bivalvia, Ostreida, Ostreidae. The record is from RefSeq and is a predicted model, not a curated record.
GGAAAUUUCCACAUGAUGUUGACAAGACCUGCUCUAUUUUUAAAAUGAAGAUAUAUAUACUGACAUAUAGUGUACAUGUACCUUGAAGAUUUGUCCCCCUUGUAAAUACAAGAAAUGCAAAGUAUACACAGAUAUAUACAUACACAUAAAAGGAGACAUCAUCUCAUGAUCUGUGGAUCCAUUGAAAACUUUAAGGACAAAACUGUUGAUAAUUCAUUCAUGUAAAGAGUGUUGACCUGAAUAUUGAAUAUCUAAAUGGAACUAAGUUAGAGAAUUAAUUUAAUAAGUAUUAUAUUGUAUAUUACUGAAUACUCUUUUUAUUCAUCUGUCAAAUUUCUUAAUUAAAAAUUAAACUUAAAGGCUUAAAUAAGGAUUUUUUUCAUUAUUUUAAUUAGAACAAGUUCUUUAAUUUAUUUUUCUCUUACAUAAUUGAUAAACAGGCAUUUAAGGUCAUGCGCAAUGUAGUUUGCACUUUAUUGGGUUCUUCCCUGGAGUUCAAUAGUUCCACUAAAGGAAGGACCUGUGUGCAAUAUUUUUAUUGUCUAUAUAUGGAUUUGUAAAUCUCCUCUAAAACAGUUUUGAUGAAAAAAAAAAUCUGGAAUUUAUGUUUUGUAAUUUUUGUACAUUUUUUCUUUGAAUAAUGCAAAUUUUUUCAAACUUUAAUAUCUUUUCAAAAUCCCUGGAA